Molecule: ribosomal RNA, 236 nt
Filed under: uncultured Staphylococcus sp.
Lineage: Bacteria; Bacillati; Bacillota; Bacilli; Caryophanales; Staphylococcaceae
Description: partial 16S ribosomal RNA
Rfam family: Bacterial small subunit ribosomal RNA
Source: RNAcentral
GGGUGAGUAACACGUGGAUAACCUACCUAUAAGACUGGGACAACUUCGGGAAACCGGAGCUAAUACCGGAUAAUAUAUUGAACCGCAUGGUUCAAUAGUGAAAGACGGUUUUGCUGUCACUUAUAGAUGGAUCCGCGCCGCAUUAGCUAGUUGGUAAGGUAACGGCUUACCAAGGCAACGAUGCGUAGCCGACCUGAGAGGGUGAUCGGCCACACUGGAACUGAGACACGGUCCAG